RNAcentral lists this ribosomal RNA (292 nucleotides) under uncultured Verrucomicrobiota bacterium. RNAcentral describes it as "uncultured Verrucomicrobia bacterium partial 16S ribosomal RNA". Lineage: Bacteria; Pseudomonadati; Verrucomicrobiota. The record is from RNAcentral.
GGACUACUGGGGUAUCUAAUCCUGUUUGCUCCCCUAGCUUUCGUGCCUCAGUGUCAGGAGUCGUCCAGAGACUCGCUUUCGCCACUGGUGUUCCUCUCGAUCUCUACGCAUUUCACCGCUACACCGAGAAUUCCAGUCUCCCUUCCGACCCUCUAGCCAAGUAGUAUUUAGUGCCGUUUCCGAGUUGAGCUCGGAGAUUUCACACCAAACUUACCUUGCCACCUACGCACCCUUUACGCCCAGUGAAUCCGAACAACGCUUGGGACCUCUGUAUUACCGCGGCUGCUGGCAC